This 902-nucleotide long non-coding RNA is filed under the name Chloebia gouldiae (Gouldian finch). RNAcentral describes it as "Erythrura gouldiae (Gouldian finch) lncRNA (ENSEGOG00005016465.1)". The record is from RNAcentral. Lineage: Eukaryota; Metazoa; Chordata; Aves; Passeriformes; Passeridae.
CUCCGCCACCGGCACCGCCGCCCCGUCCCGCCCCGUGCCUGGAGGUGCCACAGGGCGGGGGCAGCGUCCCCAAGUCCGUCCCGCUGGAAAACCCCGACAGCGGCCGCUGCCAGAGAGCUCCGGAGAGCCGCGGAGCCCCCUCAGCCGCCCGUACCUGCACCGCAGCUCGCCUGGACACGGCGGCUCGGCUCUGCUCUGCCCGCGGCGUGAUGGGGGAAAGGCCAGCUGAAGUUUGUUAAACAAAACUGCAAAGCCAACCAGAUCCUCGCGCUGGGCGCUGAUGAGCUCCGUCCCGCCGUUCUCGCUGGUUUUUCCAUCGGGAGUGCCACAGGUGUGGUGUAUUCGCUGUAAUGCGAAUGCAAGCCGCUCGGCCGUCGGGAGCUGCACCUGCGGAGAAUGAUUAGCUGGUAUUCCCUCGGAACGCGCUCGAGCCUGGGGGAGUCAGCCCAGAUUUCCUUCCCUCCCUCCCCCCAGCACAAGAUGAGGGCUGUGCAAACCUCACAGGCUUAUAACCUCAUUUGUCUCAUCUACACUCCCACCUGGAAGAGUACAGCUAUUUUUUUGGCAGCAGGAAUGAUACCUGGGGGGAAAGAAAAGUUGACUUCCCUUACUUCAGGAGAAGUUUCAGUGAAGUUAUUGCUGAGGAGAAUAUGAUUAAUAUACGGAAGACAAGAUGAUACUGACUCUUGCAGCUGCCCUCUACUCAGCAGAGAAGGAGCUGUUCAGAGCAUUACGCUGGGUUCUCAGCUGUGAAUACAACUGUAAUGCCAUAAUCCCAGCUCGGCACUGUCGGUCUGAUCCCAUGUGCCUUGCACAAACAGCACUGCAGUUCAGGCAAAGGGAAGUCUGGGAUGCCAAAAAGGUUGUAAUAUAUGUGCCCCUUUGUCUUUUAUAUAAAUAAG